Molecule: long non-coding RNA, 534 nt
Organism: Oncorhynchus tshawytscha (Chinook salmon)
Lineage: Eukaryota; Metazoa; Chordata; Actinopteri; Salmoniformes; Salmonidae
Source: Ensembl
GUGUGUGUGUGUGUGUGGAUGUGUGUGUGUGUGUGUGUGUGUGUGUGUGGAGGUGUGUGUGUGUGUGUGAGUGUGUGUGUGUGUGGAGGUGUGUGUGGAGGUGUGUGUGUGUGUGUGUGUGUGGAGGUGUGUGGAGGUGUGUGUGUGGAGGUGUGUGUGUGGAGGUGUGUGUGGAGGUGUGUGUGUGGAGGUGUGUGUGUGGUGGGGUGUGUGUGUGUGGAGGUGUGUGUGUGUGUGGAGGUGUGUGUGUGUGGAGGUGUGUGUGUGUGGAGGUGUGCGUGUGUGGAGGUGUGUGUGUGUGUGUGUGUGUGUGUGUGUGUGUGUGGAGGUGUGUGUGUGUGUGGAGGUGUGUGUAUGUUUGGAGGUGGAGGUCUGUGGGUGCGCGUAUCUCCCUGAUCGUGGCCCAGCUGUGGGAGAGGAGAUAUUUUAUAAACUAAUCCUCUUAUCAGGAUCUUGUGCUGCUCUCUGCACACACCGUUUCCCUGAGAAAGUCAGGGAUGGAGGGGACCCAGUAGGACGCCCUGACACACACAC